AAGACUUAUUUAUCAAGGGGAGUCUCCAUGUGGACCCCACACUAUGGCACUGAAACCUGAGAGUUCUCCAUACACUCCUCCUCCCCUAAAAGCACUAAGUCUCUCUUGGUCAGGGCUGUCCACACUCUGCCAGAGCCUCAGACAGUUUCAGGAGAGAGUACCUAUCUGAAACUCUCCCAGUAGGCACUGCAGCUAUGGACGUGUUGCUCACUGUGUAUGUGCAGCCUGAGUUUCUCAGACUUUAUAUAUCCUUUUAAGUCUCCCCUGAUCAGGGUUGGGGGUUUCCCUGUCUAAGACCAGAGCCCCACUCUGAGAGGGGCGAGAGCCACUAAGGUGCAUUUUCUGUCUGUUCUCUCCUCUGUUGCAGGCACCAUGCACUGGGCAUUUUCCCCUCAACUUAUAAAAUCUUUUCCAAAUGGUACAAAACAUCCUCUGUACUCCUUGGCCUCAAAAAUUCAUAUUAGCAGAGAUUCAGUUGAUUGUUCUGGUCACUUGUUGGGAGAUCAGUUGAAAAUCCAUGCUGGGGGCACAAAUAAGUGGGCUCAGCUUCCAUCUACUUGGCCAUCAUCUUCUGAUCCCCUAGUUUCCCCUUUAAUCAUUGAGGGACAUAAGAGUUGUUUCUACUUUUUGACUUUUAUGAAUAAUGCUGCUGUGAAUAUUCAUGUACAAAUUUCUAAGUGGAUAUAUGUUUUCAUUUCUCUUUGUCAACA
This is a long non-coding RNA of Phyllostomus discolor (pale spear-nosed bat), 710 nucleotides long. RefSeq lists it as uncharacterized. The transcript is spliced from 4 exons. NCBI's taxonomy places the organism in Eukaryota, Metazoa, Chordata, Mammalia, Chiroptera, Phyllostomidae. The record is from RefSeq and is a predicted model, not a curated record.